RNAcentral lists this ribosomal RNA (425 nucleotides) under uncultured bacterium. Its description in RNAcentral is "bacterial SSU rRNA". It matches the Rfam family "Bacterial small subunit ribosomal RNA", at positions 354 to 796 of the family's 1533-position model. The record is from RNAcentral.
GUGGGGAAUAUUGCACAAUGGGGGAAACCCUGAUGCAGCGACGCCGCGUGAGUGAUGAAGUAUUUCGGUAUGUAAAGCUCUAUCAGCAGGGAAGAUAAUGACGGUACCUGACUAAGAAGCACCGGCUAAAUACGUGCCAGCAGCCGCGGUAAUACGUAUGGUGCAAGCGUUAUCCGGAUUUACUGGGUGUAAAGGGUGCGUAGGUGGCAAGGCAAGUCUGAAGUGAAAAUCCGGGGCUCAACCCCGGAACUGCUUUGGAAACUGUUUAGCUGGAGUACAGGAGAGGUAAGUGGAAUUCCUAGUGUAGCGGUGAAAUGCGUAGAUAUUAGGAGGAACACCAGUGGCGAAGGCGACUUACUGGACUGCUACUGACACUGAGGCACGAAAGCGUGGGGAGCAAACAGGAUUAGAAACCCGGGUAGUCC